RNAcentral lists this ribosomal RNA (430 nucleotides) under bacterium. RNAcentral's name for it is "partial 16S ribosomal RNA". It matches the Rfam family "Bacterial small subunit ribosomal RNA", at positions 355 to 776 of the family's 1533-position model. The record is from RNAcentral.
UGGGGAAUAUUGGACAAUGGGCGCAAGCCUGAUCCAGCCAUGCCGCGGGUGUGAAGAAGGCCUAUUGGUUGGAAAGCACUUUAAGCGAGGAGGAGGCUACUUGGAUUAAUACUCGAGGAGAGUGGACGAUACGCGCAGAAUAAGCACCGGCGAACUCUGAGCCAGCAGCCGCGGUAAUACAGAGGGUGCGAGCGUUAAUCGGACUUACUGGGCGUAAAGCGUGCGUAGGCGGCUUUGUAAGUCGGAUGUGAAAGCCCUGAGCAUAAGGUAGGAAAUGCAUUGGAUACUGGGAAGCUAGAGGAUGGGAGAGGAUGGGAGAAUUCCAGGUGUAGCGGUGAAAUGCGUAGAGAUCUGGAGGAAUACCGAUGGCGAAGGCAGCCAUCUGGCCUAAUACUGACGCUGAGGUACGAAAGCAUGGGGAGCAAACAGU